RNAcentral lists this ribosomal RNA (544 nucleotides) under Botryosphaeria dothidea. RNAcentral's name for it is "eukaryotic LSU rRNA". The stretch from base 171 to 324 matches the Rfam family "5.8S ribosomal RNA". Lineage: Eukaryota; Fungi; Ascomycota; Dothideomycetes; Botryosphaeriales; Botryosphaeriaceae. The record is from RNAcentral.
UGAUCGGGCUCGGGGAUCCUCCCACCCUUUGUGUACCUACCUCUGUUGCUUUGGCGGGCCGCGGUCCUCCGCGGCCGCCCCCCUCCCCGGGGGGGUGGCCAGCGCCCGCCAGAGGACCAUCAAACUCCAGUCAGUAAACGAUGCAGUCUGAAAAACAUUUAAUAAACUAAAACUUUCAACAACGGAUCUCUUGGUUCUGGCAUCGAUGAAGAACGCAGCGAAAUGCGAUAAGUAAUGUGAAUUGCAGAAUUCAGUGAAUCAUCGAAUCUUUGAACGCACAUUGCGCCCUUUGGUAUUCCGAAGGGCAUGCCUGUUCGAGCGUCAUUACAACCCUCAAGCUCUGCUUGGUAUUGGGCACCGUCCUUUGCGGGCGCGCCUCAAAGACCUCGGCGGUGGCGUCUUGCCUCAAGCGUAGUAGAACAUACAUCUCGCUUCGGAGCGCAGGGCGUCGCCCGCCGGACGAACCUUCUGAACUUUUCUCAAGGUUGACCUCGGAUCAGGUAGGGAUACCCGCUGAACUUAAGCAUAUCAAUAAGCGGAGGAA